GACGAACGCUGGCGGCGCGCCUAACACAUGCAAGUCGAACGAGCAAAGAGGAGCUUGCUUCUCUGAGCGAGUGGCGAACGGGUGAGUAACGCGUGAGGAACCUGCCUCAAAGAGGGGGACAACAGUUGGAAACGACUGCUAAUACCGCAUAAGCCCACGGGUCGGCAUCGACCAGAGGGAAAAGGAGCAAUCCGCUUUGAGAUGGCCUCGCGUCCGAUUAGCUAGUUGGUGAGGUAAUGGCCCACCAAGGCGACGAUCGGUAGCCGGACUGAGAGGUUGAACGGCCACAUUGGGACUGAGACACGGCCCAGACUCCUACGGGAGGCAGCAGUGGGGAAUAUUGCACAAUGGGGGAAACCCUGAUGCAGCGACGCCGCGUGGAGGAAGAAGGUCUUCGGAUUGUAAACUCCUGUUGUUGAGGAAGAUAAUGACGGUACUCAACAAGGAAGUGACGGCUAACUACGUGCCAGCAGCCGCGGU
This 480-nucleotide ribosomal RNA is filed under the name uncultured bacterium. Its description in RNAcentral is "bacterial SSU rRNA". It matches the Rfam family "Bacterial small subunit ribosomal RNA", at positions 28 to 521 of the family's 1533-position model. The record is from RNAcentral.